Molecule: small nuclear RNA, 107 nt
Organism: Bubalus bubalis (water buffalo)
Lineage: Eukaryota; Metazoa; Chordata; Mammalia; Artiodactyla; Bovidae
Source: RefSeq, a predicted model, not a curated record
GUGCUCACUUUGGGAGCACAUAUACUAAAAUUGGAACAGUACAGAGAAGAUUAGCAUGGCCCCUGAGUAAGGAUGACAUGCAAAUUUGUGAGGCAUUCCAUAUCUUU